This is a long non-coding RNA of Oncorhynchus nerka (sockeye salmon), 4016 nucleotides long. RefSeq lists it as uncharacterized. The transcript is spliced from 2 exons. The record is from RefSeq and is a predicted model, not a curated record. Lineage: Eukaryota; Metazoa; Chordata; Actinopteri; Salmoniformes; Salmonidae.
GUGUAAAGCGAGUUUGGCGUUUCCCACUGUGAUGGUGUUGUUUUUCGCCGCCUGUAGGACUCGUUCCUUGUCGGUGAAUCUCAGGAAACGUAUGGUGAUUGGGCGCGGUGGUUGUCUGGCUGCUGAUGGGGGCCUCAGUGCUCGGUGAGCUCUCUCGAGUUCUAUGGGUCUGUCGGUGGGCAGGUGGAGCCACUCGGGAAGUUUGUCUUGCAGGUAGCGGAUCAGUGGCAUGUUUCCCUCUUAUUUUUCGCCCAGAUUGAAUAGAACACGAUUAUUCCUUCGCCCCCUGUUUUCCAGGUCCUGUUUUCUCUUCCAGAUGCUCGAUUUUCUUUUUAGCAUAUGCUAUUGUUUCCAUGGCAUCUGUCAAUAAGUUUCCCAUGGAUAGGAUUCGCCCCUCUGCCUCGUCCAGGCGCCCCGCGUUUAUGGUUAUCUUGUUGAUGUCAGGCAAUGCGUUUUCCAGGAUUGUCACCUUGCCCCCUAUCGCACUGAGCUGAGAGUUAAUGGCAUCUAAUUUGGUGUUUAGUUCUGUACGUUGGGAUCUCAACUCAGAGAGGAUGUCUUCGACAGAGUGCGAGGUUGGCAUUCGUUGUGCCUUGUGGGGGAGCGGGUUCUCUUGCUCCUGGCUAAUGGCGCUAGUUUUUUCUGAAGCUAGCUUCUUCUUGGAGGCUUUUUCCGUCGCUAAUACUCGAGUCCGGGUAAAAAUAUCACCUGUAGUGUCGCCUUUUGUAGCCGCCAUGACUUUUUCUUACUAAAGCUAAAUGAGUGUGAACUUGGAAUGGAGGUAAGAUUAGGAAUUGGAAACUACUUGUGCGGAGCUCUUAGUUCACGCGGCCAUCUCGUUCAAGGGUCACGUGAUCCCCCGAAUAACAGCUUUCUAAGUGUUUUCUAAUUUGAGUUAUUUAGUUACACUAACCAAGCAUUAGCACAUUGAAUAACAGCUUUCUAAGUGGUUUCUAAUUUGAGUUAUUUAGUUACACUAACCAAGCAUUAGCACAUUGAAUAACAGCUUUCUAAGUGUUUUCUAAUUUGAGUUAUUUAGUUACACUAACCAAGCAUUAGCACAUUGAAUAACAGCUUUCUAAGUGUUUUCUAAUUUGAGUUAUUUAGUUGUCACUUUGUGGCCCAGUCUCCCCUACUAUUCAGACUACAAAGCGUUUUUAGAGGGUGAUGCAUAUAGAAUGAAAAUUGAUGAAAUAAUUCCCAGAAUGUCCUAUUCUUUCUUACUAAGCCCAGGUCAUUAGAAUAAGUACUCUAGCUUUACUUUUGUUAUGACUUUUAUUCUGGGAAUCCCAAGAGUGUGCAAAGCUGCCAUCAAGGCAAAGGGUGGCUAUUUGAAGAAUCUCAAAUGUAAAAUAUAUUUUGAUUUGUUUAACACUUUUUUUGGUUACUACAUGAUUCCAUAUGUGUUAUUUCAUAGUGUUGAUAUCUUCACCAUUAUUCUACAAUGCAGACAAUAGUAAAAAGAAAGAAAAACCCUUGAAUGAGUAGGUGUACUAAAACUUUUGACCGGUAGUGUAAAUUUGCAAACAUUUCUAAAAACCUGUCUUUGCUUUGUCAUUAUGGGGUAUUGUGUGUAGAUUGAUGAGGGGAAAACAUCUAUUUAAGAAAUGUUAGAAUAAGGCUGUAAUGUAACAAAAUGUGGAAAACGUCAAGAGGUCUGAAUACUUUCCGAAUAUACCAGAUGAUACAAGUAGCAAUCCUAUAUUAGGUAGGCCUACUUGUAUAGAUAGGAGGUGGCUGUUGCAAGCAUAGAGGUAGAUACUGUCUGCAGUAUCUAACUCUAUGGUUGCAAGUCAUUACAAGUCAUUAGUUGGCACUGAUUCUCCUCAUAGGCUGUACUAAUAUGAAUUUGACCUAAAAGUCAUGUUACUGGGUGAGUUGUAUCCCAAUUCUCCACCCUUCCACCCUGCACUUGCACACUUUCUUGCAUGAAUUUAGCAAUGCUGGAAACUGCCUCCUGACAAUGCCUACAUUCCUAUCCUAUGCUUUAAAAUCCAUGAUGAGGAGUGAGCAAGUGCACACCAGGAGAAGGGUGGAGAAGUGGGACACAGCCCUUGUGUGCUCUCUUAACCACCUCUAUGCCUAACCAUGUAGCUGAAGCCUAAAGCAAUUUUCUGAUUUAAGUGCUACUAUACGGCAUGGUAGUGUUCAGGGUGGAAUUAAAAUGUAAUUAUAUUCUUAUUGUCGUCCCAUCCUCCACCACUAAGUUAUUGUAUGUGGCAUUUGGUUUGUUGCAAGUCAAGAUCUAUUUGCAAACAGUAGUAAAUAUUGUAAAUUACUAUAUCUAUAUCCCGGGGUAGACAGUUCCCGAGACUGUAAAGGGGCUGAUAAUCUAUGAUAUGGACUGGAAUCAGUCUUAUUCUUCUGAGUUCCUGUUGUCUGAACGGUACAAUAAAUAUUUUGGGAAGACAAUACUUUUCUUUAUUAGCUUAUUUGCUCCAGUCCAGACCUGACAUUGUGCCUUUCAACUUAUCUAUUUUGUGUUCCAACCCUAGCAGCUCCUCCUGCAAACAGGCCCCUUCUGCCUUCCAGAUGCUGCUGACCAAGCUACCUGCCCUCCACCAGACAGGCGGUUCUGGCUGAUGACCUGUCUCCAUAGAUGAGAGAAGCAGAGGAAGAAUAUCACUUCGUCCCCAAUAAUACUACUAAUAUUUCAAAUUGUACUGAUGAGAAAGAGGAGGAUAGACUUACUGUAUAUGUCUUACUAUUCAAACUCAAAAAACUCCUGUGGUUUAUUUUUCAAAUUGGCAUGUUUCGUAUCAUCUGCCGCAAGAGUGAAGAUUUCAUUUCGUUUUAAUUUGGCGUACCCCAGUUUGGGAAUAGGACAGGCAAGGUAAAACGAAAUAAUGGAUGCAGCUAUGGUGGUAGCUAAUGUCUGAAUCUGACUAACACAGUGAACUAGGAGCAAACGGCGCCACCCAGCCUGAAUCUAAUCCAAUCUGGAGUUUUGGUCAGUCUACAUCUGGAAAGCAUAGAAUUAGGGUUUCCACUAGUUACAGGCACAAAGCCAAAAUUGUCUAUAUCAUAAAAAAUGAAUGAUACUUUUUUAUUUAUUUACUUUUUAUCUUUAUUAAGGUUAGGUUUAAAAUCACAUUUUAAGAAGAUAGAUUGUAGAAAUAGGCAGACUUUAUGACUUUGUGGUUGAGGUAACUAGAGAGACGACCUAGAAUUAGCUUGACCCGAGUUACUGCCCUGAUGACACAGACCACUUCAUUAACAAUGGUAAUGUGUUUUAUGUAAAACGUUUAUAUAAAAAACAACUGGAUUUGAUAAACUAAUGGGUUAAUUACCCACUCAAGAAGCUACAAGUAGUAAUUUUGAAUGUGAAGUGAAUUGUCAAAAAGCUUUGUCCAAAAUGCAAUUGACCACUUGGCUGUCUAUUGUAUCACCCUGUCACAGGCCCUCCCAGGAGGCACCACCUCAUAAGAUGAGGAAGUACGUUGUUUAUAAGGAUUCCCUGCUGCAGUUGUUUGAGAGAUGUCCAGUUUUAAUACACAUCACUGCAUCCUGUAUCAAAAAGUUGGCUGGUCCUCAUUACAUUUUCAUAUAUCACUCAAUUACUCCCUUUUUGUUUACAAAGCUCUACUAUACAAGCUUCCGACUUACCUAACUUCGUUGUUUAAGUAUAAAAACAUGACUUACCAUACCUGCUCACGGGGUUGGUUAACUCUUGAGAUUCCUCGGGUCUCCAAUGAGCUAGGUAAAUCUACUUUUAGUUUUAACGCUCCACAUUUUUGGAAUCAUUUACAAAAUUCAUUACAUUUGAUACAUUCAUUCACUCAAUGUACCACUAAGGCAGUUUAAAAGCCUAAUGAUGAGGUCACUGAGGUGUGCAAUUGUUUUGAUUGAUUGAAUUUAAUAAUUUGUCUGAAGCCUGUGAUAUUUGUGAUGUUCUAACGUACUUGUUAUUAUAUCUUGUAUCUUGUAGUUUUAUCUUUUAUUUUAUGUUCUCAGGGCACCAUUUAAAAUGAGACCCUGGGCUCCUCUGAUUAAAUAAAAGUGAAUAAAAAAUCAAA